UGACUGAGAUAACAUUCAAUAUGCUAGGAAGGAAAAUUGGGCUAGCUCUUACUUCAUGGAGAAAUUUUGUGCUGGGUUUAGGACUACCUCACGAUGUGAGGGCAUCAAUAAUUAUGUGAAAACUUUCAUUAGCUCUCGUCAUUGUCUGUUAGACUUGGUGACUAAUCUUGAACGUGCUGUUCGAGAUUACAGGAACAAUGAAAUGGUUUCCCAAUUCAAGACUAUCUAUGGUGAACCUGUGUUGACCACUGGUUUAACCAAUCUUGAAUGUAGUGCUACAGAAGCAUACACGAAGGAAAUAUACAGGUUGGUUAAAAAGGAGAUUCAGGCCGUGGUUGCACUUGAGUUAAUAGAGGAUCAAAGUAUAUCCAGAACAAUAAUUUAUAAGGUGUAUCAUCAUGAGAAUAGAGAUCGCUUGUACACUGUUAUGUUUGAUUGCAAUGACAAGAAUAUAGAGUGUGAAUGCAAAAGAUGGAAUACUGAGGGCAUUUCCUGUAGACAUAUGUUUUAUGUCAUGAAACGGGAAGCCUGUAAAGAAAUUCCAGAGAAGCUCAUUUUAAAGAGAUGGAAUAAAAGAGCAAAGCAUUUUUCCAAUGAGAUAAAUAUUAGGCAAAGUGAGAUUGAAAAAAGAGAGAGGGUUUUUAAUGUGAUAUGCAGCAUUGUCUGUGGCCACCACCUGGAUGUCUUUCAUUGGAGCACAAGAGCUUCCCCUUUUCCAUCAAACAAUGAAAGAAGUGUGUAGAUUGAUAAGAGAGAUUGAAACAAAGACCUCAAAGAAGCAACAUACGGAGGAGGCACCUACACAGAGCAUAAUUGGUGACCUAAGCGUUGUGAAGACAAAAGGCGCACCAAAAUUGAAAAAAGAUGAAAAAGGGAGGAGGAAGUGUAAAAAUUGUGGGAAAGAAGGUCACACAAAAAGGACUUGUUCUAUUAUUGGGAAAGAAGAAACUCAGGCAACGAAUCAAGAAUUGAACACCACAAUUGAUGAAGCUAAAACUCAUGAGAUAGAUCCUAUUGUAGCUUCACAGAUCUCGUCAAUCAUCGGUAACACACCACCCAACGAAGAUGUUGCUUGAAAUACAAAUGAGUUGAAUCCACGGUUUAGUGUUGUUAAUUGCAUUCCCCUAAUAUCCAACAACUUAAAUGAAAUUCCACAAGGGUCUUAUCGGUGGAUGCUACAGGUAAUGCAAAAUCGUAUGGCAAACAAGUGAUAAAUGGACCCGUCAACAUGGAUGACUGGGGAGAUCAUCGGCCGCAAAAUUAUUUUGCUUGUUUUUUCUAUGUUUGAGUUUUAUUACAAGACUUGGUGCAUCCUAGAAUGAAUUUGUCAUUAGAUUAUUUGUGUGAGAAAAUAUAUGCUAUCUUAAAUGAGGAAUAGUUGUCAAUGAAUUAAUGAAAUUGUCUUUC
Non-coding RNA from Arachis ipaensis, 1407 nucleotides. NCBI's taxonomy places the organism in Eukaryota, Viridiplantae, Streptophyta, Magnoliopsida, Fabales, Fabaceae. The record is from RefSeq and is a predicted model, not a curated record.